RNAcentral lists this ribosomal RNA (294 nucleotides) under uncultured bacterium. Its description in RNAcentral is "partial 16S ribosomal RNA". It matches the Rfam family "Bacterial small subunit ribosomal RNA", at positions 9 to 285 of the family's 1533-position model. The record is from RNAcentral.
GAGUUUGAUCUUGGCUCAGGAUGAACGCUGGCGGCGUGCUUAACACAUGCAAGUCGAGCGAAGCGGUUUUUCGGAAGUUUUCGGACGGAAGAGGAAUUGACUGAGCGGCGGACGGGUGAGUAACGCGUGGGCAACCUGCCUCACACAGGGGGAUAACAGUUGGAAACGGCUGCUAAUACCGCAUAAGCGCACAGCGCCGCAUGGCGCGGUGUGAAAAACUCCGGUGGUGUGAGAUGGGCCCGCGUCUGAUUAGGUAGUUGGUGAGGUAACGGCCCACCAAGCCGACGAUCAGUA